GAUGAACGCUGGCGGCGUGCCUAAUACAUGCAAGUCGAGCGAACAGACGAGGAGCUUGCUCCUCUGACGUUAGCGGCGGACGGGUGAGUAACACGUGGAUAACCUACCUAUAAGACUGGGAUAACUUCGGGAAACCGGAGCUAAUACCGGAUAAUAUAUUGAACCGCAUGGUUCAAUAGUGAAAGACGGUUUUGCUGUCACUUCUAGAUGGAUCCGCGCCGCAUUAGCUAGUUGGUAAGGUAACGGCUUACCAAGGCAACGAUGCGUAGCCGACCUGAGAGGGUGAUCGGCCACACUGGAACUGAGACACGGUCCAGACUCCUACGGGAGGCAGCAGUAGGGAAUCGUCCGCAAUGGGCGAAAGCCUGACGGAGCAACGCCGCGUGAGUGAUGAAGGUCUUCGGAUCGUAAAACUCUGUUAUUAGGGAAGAACAAAUGUGUAAGUAACUAUGCACUUCUUGACGGUACCUAAUCAGAAAGCCACGGCUAACUACGUG
Molecule: ribosomal RNA, 497 nt
Filed under: uncultured bacterium
Lineage: Bacteria
Description: partial 16S ribosomal RNA
Rfam family: Bacterial small subunit ribosomal RNA
Source: RNAcentral